RNAcentral lists this unclassified non-coding RNA (405 nucleotides) under soil metagenome. Its description in RNAcentral is "partial contains 5.8S ribosomal RNA, internal transcribed spacer 2, and large subunit ribosomal RNA". The stretch from base 1 to 121 matches the Rfam family "5.8S ribosomal RNA", at positions 35 to 154 of the family's 154-position model. The record is from RNAcentral.
GAUGAAGAACGUAGCGAAAUGCGAUAAGUAAUGUGAAUUGCAGAAUUCAGUGAAUCAUCGAAUCUUUGAACGCACCUUGCGCCCUUUGGCCAUUCCGAAGGGCAUGCCUGUUUGAGUAUCAUGAACACCUCAACUCUUUAUGGUUUUCCAUGAUGAGCUUGGACUCUGGGGGUUUUGCUGGCUCACAGUCGGCUCCUCUAAAAUGGAUCAGCUUACCAGUGUUUGGUGGGUAUCAUGGGUGUGAUAACUAUCUACGCUUGUGGUUUUUCCACCAGGUAACCUUCAGCAGUGGAGGUUCGCUGGAGCUCAUAGAUGUCUCUCCUCAGUGAGGACAGCCCUUUGAAUGUUUGAUCUCAAAUCAGGUAGGACUACCCGCUGAACUUAAGCAUAUCAAUAAGCGGAGGA